GAUGAACGCUGGCGGCGUGCCUAAUACAUGCAAGUCGAGCGAACAGACGAGGAGCUUGCUCCUCUGACGUUAGCGGCGGACGGGUGAGUAACACGUGGAUAACCUACCUAUAAGACUGGGAUAACUUCGGGAAACCGGAGCUAAUACCGGAUAAUAUAUUGAACCGCAUGGUUCAAUAGUGAAAGACGGUUUUGCUGUCACUUAUAGAUGGAUCCGCGCCGCAUUAGCUAGUUGGUAAGGUAACGGCUUACCAAGGCAACGAUGCGUAGCCGACCUGAGAGGGUGAUCGGCGACACUGGAACUGAGACACGGUCCAGACUCCUACGGGAGGCAGCAGUAGGGAAUCUGCCGCAAAGGGCGAAAGCCUGACGGAGCAACGCCGCGUGAGUGAUGAAGGUCUUCGGAUUGUAAAACUCUGUUAUUAGGGAAGAACAAAUGUGUAAGUAACUAUGCACGUCUUGACGGUACCUAAUCAGAAAGCCACGGCUAACUACGUG
Molecule: ribosomal RNA, 497 nt
Filed under: uncultured bacterium
Lineage: Bacteria
Description: partial 16S ribosomal RNA
Rfam family: Bacterial small subunit ribosomal RNA
Source: RNAcentral